Molecule: long non-coding RNA, 1556 nt
Organism: Panthera uncia (snow leopard)
Lineage: Eukaryota; Metazoa; Chordata; Mammalia; Carnivora; Felidae
Exons: 2
Source: RefSeq, a predicted model, not a curated record
UUCACCACAGCCCCCACCCUCCUCGUCUAGCCCUUUCUUCCCAGCCAACCGCGCCCCUCCCUGAGCCGGCCGGCCACUCUCGGGCCACGCUCAGCUGACCAGGGGCUGAGAGGAGGAGGGGGCAGGUGUGUGGCAGUGGCUGAUCCCUCUCCCCCAGCUCCUAUUCUCCCAGGGAGGACACGGGGGACCAAAAUCCUCUGCGCCGGCCCCUGCAGGAUGCCGUGCGACAGCCGCCUGUUUCCCGCCGGGACCCCUGGCUGGCGGUAUCUCCACGAUUUCGUUCACGUUCCUUCUCAGCUACUUCCCUCUCCCGAAGGGAGAGAGAGAGCACGCGUGAGCGGGGAAGAGGAGCAGAGGGACAGAGAGAGAAUCUUCAGCAGGCUCCGUGCUGAGCUUAAGACAUGGGGCUUGAUCCCGCGACACUGGGGUCAUGACCUGAGCAGAAAUCAAGAGUUGAUGCUCAACCAACUGAGCCAUCCAAGUACCCCAUCACCUCAACUUUUAAAAUAACUACAUGAAAUCCUGAAAGUCACCUAAAUGGACUCAGUUUAUGGUCCCCUGGAAACAACGGAUGAAAAAGCUACCUCAGCCCAGCUCACCACUGCACUCUUCUUAAAGACCAAUGGAUGCAUUAUUUCUGCAAAGCAACCUUCUGAAUCCCGUUGAGGUAGAAGGUGGAAAGGAGGUGAUAAAAACAUUCUUUAAAAGCUGCUUUUCUUCCCCCAAAAUGAUGGAUGCGCAUUUUCUAUGCAACUGUCUCAAAACAUGACAAAAGGGAAAGGUGGGGUUCCUUUUACAAAGUAGAAUACUGGAAGAGUAAGAAACACACAAGUAAAUUUCACAGGGAUACGUAUUAAUGCCGUAGUGCUUUGAAUCAAAAGCCCCGUUUCCUUACCUCUAGCCUGGUGUCAGUAGGUGAAAAAGUCAAAUCUCUUACUAGAUCCAAAAGCUGGCCCAAGCAGCCAUUUUUAGAGAAGGUAAAGGUAAUAAAGAGUCAUUUUCCAGCUUUGCCAAAGGAAGAUGUUGCUGUUGUUACUAUUAUUAUUGUUAUUGUGUUAUUAUUAUUAUAUUAUUAUUAUUAUUGUCAUUAUUACUGUGGCAGUGACCCAUAAAGGAAAGUACCAAUGAUAUGAGCCAUUUCCCAAAGUUCUAAAAAGCCUGAGUGGCAGAGAAUGACAGUCGUUCCUCAACAUCAACCAUUCUGCUCGCAAAAGCCUGGGUUUCCGGGCAGCUCCUUGGACAGCUCACUGCCUUUCGCUCACCACACCGAGACAGUCAAACGAUGCUACGACACACUUUCCAGCUGCAGCACAGUGGCACUGCUCGCCAGCCAGCAACUCAGUUACAGCAGCGUCACCACCGGUGAGCUCAGCCGUGUGGGGAAAGGACCCUACUGCGUUACGGUACUGUGUUCUCUCACAUGUAUUUGAAAGCACAGAAGACAGCGCCUUCCUUAUCCUGCCGGACCCCAGCAGCCAAAGGGAAUGACUCUCAGCAGCCCACACCAGCCACAAAGUUCCUGAAAACACCAGCCCAGAUGUUUAUUUUUGUUUUUU